AAAUGAAUACACAGAUUUAUUAUUUGUAUACUAAUUCCUACACUGACACAUUAGACUGUAUGUUUUUUAUUUAAAAUGUUUGUUUAAACCAUUAAUUUAAUAGCCGCGAUGCUUACGAGUCUAAUGCACUUUGUGGGACGAAAUGGAGACCACAAACACAAGAAAAUCCAGUAUGACUUCUCUAAAAAUCUCAAAAGGUUCACAGAGCAGCACUAUCAGUUAAUAAAGAAAUGUGGCUCUGUAGUGGACACCUGUGAGGCAGUGGACAGACAGCUGCUGAUGUCUGAUGCUGGCUGACAAUAAACAGACCUCUCUGGACGUACCCCAUCUUUUGCAGAGAAAUUAUAACAUUGCCCUUCCUGUAACAUGACGAUCCUGCUGUCCUGGACUGUAUAUGAUGAUAAGUAUGAGUUUGUCCAUGUGUGUAGACAUAUGUAGUGUACACACACACAUUAUACACACAUUGUGCACUUAAUUAGUCCAUAACCAUUAAUCAAUAGACUAAUAUGACAAAAAUAAUUCCUGUGGUGUUCCUCAUUUUUAAGAUAAUAAAAAAAAUACCUGUGCUAAAUGAAUAAAUGUAAUAUUUUAUUAUUUAAUUUUAUGUAAAUC
Carassius carassius (crucian carp) is the source of this 612-nucleotide long non-coding RNA. RefSeq lists it as uncharacterized. The transcript has 4 exons. NCBI's taxonomy places the organism in Eukaryota, Metazoa, Chordata, Actinopteri, Cypriniformes, Cyprinidae. The record is from RefSeq and is a predicted model, not a curated record.